AAGUCGUAACAAGGUCUCCGUAGGUGAACCUGCGGAGGGAUCAUUAACACAAGUGAGCAGCACCAGCGAACGGGCGACUCGAAAGAGCACCAACGCUGGUGAUGACACUUUUGUGUCUAGUGCCAACUAGCGCGCUCUCCUCCGCUCUGCAACUAUUACGAACUAGAAUAGAGUACAACUCUUAGCAACGGAUAUCUUGGUUCUC
This 205-nucleotide unclassified non-coding RNA is filed under the name fungal sp. Its description in RNAcentral is "partial internal transcribed spacer region". The stretch from base 1 to 46 matches the Rfam family "Eukaryotic small subunit ribosomal RNA", at positions 1786 to 1831 of the family's 1831-position model. Lineage: Eukaryota; Fungi. The record is from RNAcentral.